Molecule: long non-coding RNA, 1409 nt
Filed under: Anser cygnoides (Swan goose)
Lineage: Eukaryota; Metazoa; Chordata; Aves; Anseriformes; Anatidae
Description: lncRNA (ENSACDG00005009380.1)
Source: RNAcentral
UGAGGUUUAAUGGAUAUAGAGUUAUUAGAAGUUUACGUUGAUCUUUUGUAGUAACUUAAUUUUAAUUUUUAAACUUGUUCUGCAGAAUGAACAGUCUCCUUGACAGAGAGAUGGCAACACUAGAGUAGCUGUAUGGAAUCUGUGCUUAGUGUAUACAAUACCGAUUUUAGGUAAACAAUAUUAUUAUAGUGAUUUUACAUAAUUAAAAAAAUAUAAAUAGAUUAGUAUAAGUUUCUGGCACAUUUCUUAGUUGUUUAAAUAACUUUACCUCCUAGAAACAAGUGAAAAAUUCACCCAAUUUAGCUAUUGGUAAUGGCAGAUAUUGCUUCACCAUUCUUAAAAAAAAAAAAAAAAAAAGGCAAACUGCAUGCCACCCUAUGCCACCCUAUUCAUUUACUUUCAAUGUAUUUACCUGUUUUGGUGACUGUCUAAACUAGAUUGCCAAUUUAGGCAAGCCUUAUAAUAACCUAUCAAACAACCACUCGUGUUGUGCAAGCUCACUUUAUUUAGAGAAAUAUAGAACUAGAAUAUAAAUCAAAACCUUUGUAAGCUUAAACAAAAUUUUGCAAUGGUUGGUGUCUAAGAACACCUGCCCUAUGCUUUAAACUGCUUGCUCUCUGUUCAUACAGAUUAAUUUUUUCUUUGGUUUGUUUAUUAAACAAACUUCAGGAAAUCCAACAGCCACGUCAAUUUGCUUUGAGCCUGAGAAGAACAGGACAACUCAUUUUAUUGGGUUCCUAGCUGCCUGUUGAGACUAAAGCUCCUCUGAUUCUGGAGGUAGUGGAUAUGUAACAUACAUCAGAGAUGUUUGCUUUUUCUCACUGGAGAAAGCAAGGCAAUCCAAACAAAGUAUUAUAUGAAGAAAGGUGCAGUCCUCGUCUCUGUAAUGUAAUAAGUGCAGAGCACUAUGGGAAUAGUCUGAAUUGAAGAAUUACUGCCUAACAUAGUUUAAAUGAGAAAUUCAUAUUAUGUGACCUUGUCUUUCAUACUAUUCUGAGAAGAGGAGCCAAGGUCUGUUUCAAGCAAAAGAAUCAGAAUGCCAAAGAGAAACAGAAUGCACCACUUCCUUUUCCUUAUAAUGACAGUUUUAUUUCUAAAUUGUAAAAAGUAAUCUAGUGAUCAGAAGGAUGUAAAGGAAAGCGUUUCAAAUGUCCUGCUGCUGUGUAUUACUCAAGACAAUCCAUCAACAAAUUCUGCCUUGUAGCUGGCACAGUUAAACUCCCAAUGGAUAGGGGCUUAUUGAGAAGUGGUACACUGUGCAAGCGGAAAAGGUAGAUCGAUCUCAUCAGGUGAAACGGUAAGUGCUAAAUCAGAACAUCUAUGAUAUAUUAAGAAAACUUCUUGAUGUCAGCUGCAUUCUUCUGGCAGCUAAACAGGGAGGGACAUUUCCAGAAAGGAAGGAAAACCAU